This 371-nucleotide ribosomal RNA is filed under the name beta proteobacterium Z26. RNAcentral's name for it is "bacterial SSU rRNA". It matches the Rfam family "Bacterial small subunit ribosomal RNA", at positions 490 to 861 of the family's 1533-position model. The record is from RNAcentral. Lineage: Bacteria; Pseudomonadati; Pseudomonadota; Betaproteobacteria.
GCACCGGCUAACUACGUGCCAGCAGCCGCGGUAAUACGUAGGGUGCGAGCGUUAAUCGGAAUUACUGGGCGUAAAGCGUGCGCAGGCGGUUAUACAAGACAGGCGUGAAAUCCCCGGGCUUAACCUGGGAAUGGCGCCUGUGACUGUAUAGCUAGAGUGUGUCAGAGGGGGGUAGAAUUCCACGUGUAGCAGUGAAAUGCGUAGAUAUGUGGAGGAAUACCAAUGGCGAAGGCAGCCCCCUGGGAUAACACUGACGCUCAUGCACGAAAGCGUGGGGAGCAAACAGGAUUAGAUACCCUGGUAGUCCACGCCCUAAACGAUGCUGACUAGUUGUUCGGGAUUUACAUCCUGAGUAACGUAGCUAACGCGUG